Molecule: ribosomal RNA, 446 nt
Filed under: uncultured bacterium
Lineage: Bacteria
Description: bacterial SSU rRNA
Rfam family: Bacterial small subunit ribosomal RNA
Source: RNAcentral
ACUCCUACGGGAGGCAGCAGUGGGGAAUAUUGCACAAUGGGGGAAACCCUGAUGCAGCAACGCCGCGUGAAGGAAGACGGUUUUCGGAUUGUAAACUUCUAUCGAUAGGGACGAAAAAAAUGACGGUACCUAAAUAAGAAGCCCCGGCUAACUACGUGCCAGCAGCCGCGGUAAUACGUAGGGGGCAAGCGUUAUCCGGAAUUACUGGGUGUAAAGGGUGAGUAGGCGGCAUGAUAAGUAAGAUGUGAAAGCCCGCAGCUUAACUGCGGGAUUGCAUUUUAAACUAUUGAGCUAGAGUACAGGAGAGGAAAGCGGAAUUCCCAGUGUAGCGGUGAAAUGCGUAGAUAUUGGGAAGAACACCAGUGGCGAAGGCGGCUUUUUGGACUGAAACUGACGCUGAGGCACGAAAGCGUGGGGAGCGAACAGGAUUAGAUACCCUGGUAGUC